CCUACGGGUGGCAGCAGUGAGGAAUAUUGGUCAAUGGACGAGAGUCUGAACCAGCCAAGUAGCGUGAAGGAUGACUGCCCUAUGGGUUGUAAACUUCUUUUAUAUGGGAAUAAAAUGUUCCACGUGUGGGAUUUUGUAUGUACCAUAUGAAUAAGGAUCGGCUAACUCCGUGCCAGCAGCCGCGGUAAUACGGAGGAUCCGAGCUUUAUCCGGAUUUAUUGGGUUUAAAGGGAGCGUAGGUGGAUUGUUAAGUCAGUUGUGAAAGUUUGCGGCUCAACCGUAAAAUUGCAGUUGAGACUGGCAGUCUUGAGUACAGUAGAGGUGGGCGGAAUUCGUGGUGUAGCGGUGAAAUGCUUAGAUAUCACGAAGAACUCCGAUUGCGAAGGCAGUUCACUGGACUGCAACUGACACUGAGGCUCGAAAGUGUGGGUAUCAAACAGGAUUAGAUACCCUUGUAGUC
This 460-nucleotide ribosomal RNA is filed under the name uncultured bacterium. RNAcentral's name for it is "partial 16S ribosomal RNA". It matches the Rfam family "Bacterial small subunit ribosomal RNA", at positions 338 to 795 of the family's 1533-position model. The record is from RNAcentral.